RNAcentral lists this ribosomal RNA (803 nucleotides) under uncultured bacterium. RNAcentral describes it as "bacterial SSU rRNA". It matches the Rfam family "Bacterial small subunit ribosomal RNA", at positions 35 to 885 of the family's 1533-position model. The record is from RNAcentral.
GCUGGCGGCAGGCCUAAUACAUGCAAGUCGAGCGCGCCCUUCGGGGUGAGCGGCGGACGGGUGAGUAACGCGUGGGAAUAUGCCCUUCUCUAAGGAAUAGCCUCUGGAAACGGAGAGUAAUACCUUAUACGCCCUUUGGGGGAAAGAUUUAUCGGAGAAGGAUUAGCCCGCGUUAGAUUAGGUAGUUGGUGGGGUAAUGGCCUACCAAGCCUACGAUCUAUAGCUGGUUUGAGAGGAUGAUCAGCCACACUGGGACUGAGACACGGCCCAGACUCCUACGGGAGGCAGCAGUAGGGAAUCUUAGACAAUGGGGGCAACCCUGAUCUAGCCAUGCCGCGUGUGUGAUGAAGGCCCUAGGGUCGUAAAGCACUUUCGCCAGAGAUGAUAAUGACAGUAUCUGGUAAAGAAACCCCGGCUAACUCCGUGCCAGCAGCCGCGGUAAUACGGAGGGGGUUAGCGUUGUUCGGAAUUACUGGGCGUAAAGCGCACGUAGGCGGAUUAGUAAGUUAGAGGUGAAAUCCCAGGGCUCAACCCUGGAACUGCCUUUAAUACUGCUAGUCUUGAGUUCGAGAGAGGUAAGUGGAAUUCCGAGUGUAGAGGUGAAAUUCGUAGAUAUUCGGAGGAACACCAGUGGCGAAGGCGGCUUACUGGCUCGAUACUGACGCUGAGGUGCGAAAGUGUGGGGAGCAAACAGGAUUAGAUACCCUGGUAGUCCACACCGUAAACGAUGAAUGCCAGACGUCAGCAAGUAUACUUGUUGGUGUCACACCUAACGGAUUAAGCAUUCCGCCUGGGGAGUACGG